Molecule: ribosomal RNA, 600 nt
Filed under: uncultured Lachnospiraceae bacterium
Lineage: Bacteria; Bacillati; Bacillota; Clostridia; Lachnospirales; Lachnospiraceae
Description: bacterial SSU rRNA
Rfam family: Bacterial small subunit ribosomal RNA
Source: RNAcentral
UUUAGUGACUGAGUGGCGGACGGGUGAGUAACGCGUGGGUAACCUGCCUCACACAGGGGGAUAACAGUUGGAAACGGCUGCUAAUACCGCAUAAGCGCACAGUACCGCAUGGUACAGUGUGAAAAACUCCGGUGGUGUGAGAUGGACCCGCGUCUGAUUAGCUAGUUGGCAGGGCAACGGCCUACCAAGGCGACGAUCAGUAGCCGACCUGAGAGGGUGACCGGCCACAUUGGGACUGAGACACGGCCCAAACUCCUACGGGAGGCAGCAGUGGGGAAUAUUGCACAAUGGGGGAAACCCUGAUGCAGCGACGCCGCGUGAGCGAAGAAGUAUUUCGGUAUGUAAAGCUCUAUCAGCAGGGAAGAAGAAAUGACGGUACCUGACUAAGAAGCACCGGCUAAAUACGUGCCAGCAGCCGCGGUAAUACGUAUGGUGCAAGCGUUAUCCGGAUUUACUGGGUGUAAAGGGAGCGCAGGCGGAAGGCUAAGUCUGAUGUGAAAGCCCGGGGCUCAACCCCGGUACUGCAUUGGAAACUGGUCAUCUAGAGUGUCGGAGGGGUAAGUGGAAUUCCUAGUGUAUCGGUGAAAUGCGUAGAUAUUA